UACGUAGGGUGCAAGCGUUGUCCGGAAUUAUUGGGCGUAAAGAGCUCGUAGGCGGUUUGUCGCGUCGAAUGUGAAAACCCGGGGCUCAACCCCGGGCCUGCAUUCGAUACGGGCAGACUAGAGUUCGGCAGGGGAGUCUGGAAUUCCUGGUGUAGCGGUGAAGUGCGCAGAUAUCAGGAGGAACACCGGUGGCGAAGGCGGGACUCUGGGCCGAUACUGACACUGAGGAGCGAAAGCGUGGGGAGCGAACAGG
Molecule: ribosomal RNA, 253 nt
Filed under: uncultured bacterium
Lineage: Bacteria
Description: partial 16S ribosomal RNA
Rfam family: Bacterial small subunit ribosomal RNA
Source: RNAcentral